GACGAACGCUGGCGGCGUGCUUAACACAUGCAAGUCGAACGGAAAGGCCCUGCUUUUGUGGGGUGCUCGAGUGGCGAACGGGUGAGUAACACGUGAGUAACCUGCCCUUGACUUUGGGAUAACUUCAGGAGACUGGGGCUAAUACCGGAUAGGAGCUCCUGCUGCAUGGGGGGGGUUGGAAAGUUUCGGCGGUUGGGGAUGGACUCGCGGCUUAUCAGCUUGUUGGUGGGGUAGUGGCUUACCAAGCCUUUGACGGGUAGCCGGCCUGAGAGGGUGACCGGCCACAUUGGGACUGAGAUACGGCCCAGACUCCUACGGGAGGCAGCAGGGGGGAAUAUUGCACAAUGGGCGGAAGCCUGAUGAAGCAACACCGCGUGCGGGAUGACGGCCUUCGGGUUGUAAACCGCUUUCGCCUGUGACGAAGCGUGAGUGACGGUAAUGGGUAAAGAAGCACCGGCUAACUACGUG
This 468-nucleotide ribosomal RNA is filed under the name uncultured bacterium. Its description in RNAcentral is "partial 16S ribosomal RNA". It matches the Rfam family "Bacterial small subunit ribosomal RNA", at positions 28 to 507 of the family's 1533-position model. The record is from RNAcentral.